RNAcentral lists this small RNA (614 nucleotides) under Pongo abelii (Sumatran orangutan). RNAcentral describes it as "processed transcript". The record is from RNAcentral. Lineage: Eukaryota; Metazoa; Chordata; Mammalia; Primates; Hominidae.
GAUGCUAAGAAUAUGGCCAAGGAUGUACAUGAUGCCCUUGUGGAAAUAAUAAGCAAAGAGGUUGGAGUUGAAAAACUAGAAGCAAUGAAAACCCUGGCCACUUUAAAAGAAGAAAAACGCUAUCUUCAGGAUAUUUGGUCAUAAAACCAGAAAUUAGAGAAAUAAGCUUUUUUGACUGAAAGUGCUAAAAGUCAGCUUUACUAGUGCUGAGACUUUAAAUUUUCAAAAGAAAAUUUUCUUUCAACAUUUCUUGAAGGAGAUGGAGUGGGGAUUGGAUCAUUUAACAAUAUAACAAAACUUCCUGAUGUGAUUUUACAUAUCUUCCAUCUAUGCCCUUCCUGUGCCUGUGACUCUCCCCAGACUGCCCUGUUGAAUUGAGCUCUUCUGAGCUAAGGCAGCCUUCAGUCUCCAUCAGCGCCUCCUUUACUUGCCAGAGAACUUCACAGAGACUCUGUCCUUCCAUGCAAAGGCUUCCUGAAAUAGGGAGAGUGACUGAGUAGCCCAUUCUUGUGACUUACAGUGCCAACAUUUAAAAAACUUGGGAUUUAAAACAUCUCUGUUGAAGGCUUUUGAUCCUUUUGAGAAAUAAAGAUCUGAAAGAAAUGGCAUAAUCU